This 253-nucleotide ribosomal RNA is filed under the name uncultured bacterium. Its description in RNAcentral is "partial 16S ribosomal RNA". It matches the Rfam family "Bacterial small subunit ribosomal RNA", at positions 524 to 776 of the family's 1533-position model. The record is from RNAcentral.
UACGAGGGGGGCAAGCGUUAAUCGGAAUUACUGGGCGUAAAGCGUGCGCAGGCGGUUUCGUAAGUCUGUCGUGAAAUCCCCGGGCUUAACCUGGGAAUGGCGAUGGGGACUGCGAGGCUAGAGUUUGGCAGAGGGGGGUAGAAUUCCACGUGUAGCAGUGAAAUGCGUAGAGAUGUGGAGGAACACCGAUGGCGAAGGCAGCCCCCUGGGUCAAAACUGACGCUCAUGCACGAAAGCGUGGGGGGCAAACAGG